This 449-nucleotide ribosomal RNA is filed under the name soil fungal sp. DM2-454. Its description in RNAcentral is "partial 28S rRNA". It matches the Rfam family "Eukaryotic large subunit ribosomal RNA", at positions 182 to 644 of the family's 3401-position model. Lineage: Eukaryota; Fungi. The record is from RNAcentral.
UAAGUGCCCUGGAACGGGCCGUCAUAGAGGGUGAGAAUCCCGUCUGGGAUGGGGUGCCCGCGCCCGUGUGAAGCUCCUUCGACGAGUCGAGUUGUUUGGGAAUGCAGCUCUAAAUGGGUGGUAAAUUUCAUCUAAAGCUAAAUACUGGCCGGAGACCGAUAGCGCACAAGUAGAGUGAUCGAAAGAUGAAAAGCACUUUGAAAAAAAAGUUAAACCGCCCCUGAAAUUUGUGAAAAGGAAACCCUUGGGAACCAAAUUCCCCCCCGGGGUUCACCCGGCUUUCUGGCCGUUGUCUUUCCCCGGGGGGGGGCCACCGUCGGUUUGGGGGGGGGGUCAAAGGCCUUGGAAAGGAACCCCCCCCGGGGGGGUUUUAUUACCCAAGGGGGCCUUGCGGCCAGCCCGGACCAAGAAAGNCCUUUCUGCUCGAAUGCUGCAUAAAGGUUCAAAAA